This 520-nucleotide ribosomal RNA is filed under the name uncultured Glomus. RNAcentral describes it as "SSU rRNA". It matches the Rfam family "Eukaryotic small subunit ribosomal RNA", at positions 569 to 1091 of the family's 1831-position model. The record is from RNAcentral. Lineage: Eukaryota; Fungi; Glomeromycota; Glomeromycetes; Glomerales; Glomeraceae.
AGCAGCCGCGGUAAUUCCAGCUCCAAUAGCGUAUAUUAAAGUUGUUGCAGUUAAAAGCUCGUAGUUGAAUUUCGGGAUCAGUAGGUUGGUCAUGCCUUUGGUAUGUACUGGCCUCACUGAUUCCUCCCUCUUGAAGAACCGUAAUGUUAUUAAUUUGGUGUUGCGGGGAAUCAGGACUGUUACUUUGAAAAAAUUAGAGUGUUUAAAGCAGGCUUACGCUUGAAUACAUUAGCAUGGAAUAAUGAAAUAGGACGUAUGAUCCUAUUUUGUUGGUUUCUAGGAUUGACGUAAUGAUUAAUAGGGAUAGUUGGGGGCAUUAGUAUUCAAUUGUCAGAGGUGAAAUUCUUGGAUUUAUUGAAGACUAACUACUACGAAAGCAUUUGCCAAGGAUGUUUUCAUUAAUCAAGAACGAAAGUUAGGGGAUCGAAGACGAUCAGAUACCGUCGUAGUCUUAACCAUAAACUAUGCCGACUAGGGAUCGGAUGAUGUUAAUUUUUUAAUGACUCAUUCGGCGCCUUAC